GGAGUUAGCCGGUGCUUCUUCUGUGAGUGAUGUCCUUCCUGCCGGCUAUUAACCCGCAGGCCUUCUUCCUCACUGAAAGUGCUUUACAACCCGAAGGCCUUCUUCACACACGCGGCAUGGCUGGAUCAGGGUUGCCCCCAUUGUCCAAUAUUCCCCACUGCUGCCUCCCGUAGGAGUCUGGGCCGUGUCUCAGUCCCAGUGUGGCUGAUCAUCCUCUCAGACCAGCUACGGAUCGUCGCCUUGGUGAGCCGUUACCUCACCAACCAGCUAAUCCGACAUAGGCUCAUCCGAUAGCGCGAGGCCCGAAGGUCCCCCGCUUUCCCCCGUAGGUCGUAUGCGGUAUUAGCCUGGGUUUCCCCAGGUUAUCCCCCACUACCGGGCAGAUUCCUAUGCAUUACUCACCCGUCCGCCGCUCGCCACCAGGGAGCAAGCUCCCCGUGCUGCCGCUCGACUUGCAUGUGUUAGGCCUGCCGCCAGCGUUCAAUCUGAGCCAGAAUCAAACUCUGA
This 507-nucleotide ribosomal RNA is filed under the name uncultured bacterium. Its description in RNAcentral is "partial 16S ribosomal RNA". The record is from RNAcentral.